This 409-nucleotide ribosomal RNA is filed under the name uncultured Gammaproteobacteria bacterium. RNAcentral describes it as "bacterial SSU rRNA". It matches the Rfam family "Bacterial small subunit ribosomal RNA", at positions 370 to 779 of the family's 1533-position model. Lineage: Bacteria; Pseudomonadati; Pseudomonadota; Gammaproteobacteria. The record is from RNAcentral.
AAUGGAGGCAACUCUGAUCCAGCCAUGCCGCGUGCAGGAAGACGGCCUAUGGGUUGUAAACUGCUUUUAUACAGGAAGAACGUUAGUACGUGUACUAGCCUGACGGUACUGUGAGAAUAGGCACCGGCUAACUCCGUGCCGGCAGCCGCGGUAAUACGGAGGGUGCAAGCGUUAUCCGGAAUCACUGGGUUUAAAGGGUGCGUAGGCGGCGCUAUAAGUCAGAGGUGAAAGGCCACAGCUUAACUGUGGGACUGCUUUGAUACUGUAGUGCUUGAAUUAGGCUGAGGUCGGCGGAAUGUGACAUGUAGCGGUGAAAUGCUUAGAUAUGUCAUAGAACACCAAUUGCGAAGGCAGCUGACUAGACCUUAAUUGACGCUCAUGGACGAAAGCCAGGGGAGCGAAAGGGAUU